RNAcentral lists this non-coding RNA (24 nucleotides) under Arabidopsis thaliana (thale cress). Lineage: Eukaryota; Viridiplantae; Streptophyta; Magnoliopsida; Brassicales; Brassicaceae. The record is from RNAcentral.
AACGUGUGGUAACGGAAUUAACGU